This 253-nucleotide ribosomal RNA is filed under the name uncultured bacterium. RNAcentral describes it as "partial 16S ribosomal RNA". It matches the Rfam family "Bacterial small subunit ribosomal RNA", at positions 524 to 776 of the family's 1533-position model. The record is from RNAcentral.
UACGUAGGGUGCGAGCGUUAAUCGGAAUUACUGGGCGUAAAGCGUGCGCAGGCGGUCUUGCAAGACAGGUGUGAAAUCCCCGGGCUUAACCUGGGAACUGCACUUGUGACUGCAAGGCUGGAGUACGGCAGAGGGGGAUGGAAUUCCGCGUGUAGCAGUGAAAUGCGUAGAUAUGCGGAGGAACACCGAUGGCGAAGGCAAUCCCCUGGGCCAACACUGACGCUCAUGCACGAAAGCGUGGGGAGCAAACAGG